RNAcentral lists this ribosomal RNA (262 nucleotides) under Anguilla marmorata (giant mottled eel). Its description in RNAcentral is "partial 16S ribosomal RNA". Lineage: Eukaryota; Metazoa; Chordata; Actinopteri; Anguilliformes; Anguillidae. The record is from RNAcentral.
GUUCCUCGUGGGGGCUUUUCUUUCCCCCAUGGUCGCCCCAACCGAAGACAUUUUGAUCAUUUUACGUUGGGUUUUGUGGCCUUUGUGUUCCUUUUGGUUGGUUUGGUUUCUUUACAUGUUUGAUCUUUUGUCUAAAGCUCCAUAGGGUCUUCUCGUCUUAUGUGUUUAUGUCCGCUUCUGCACGGGCAGAUCAAUUUCAUUGACUGGGGGAGGGAGACAGUUAAACCCUCGUUAUGCCAUUCAUACAGGUCUCUAUUUAAAA